RNAcentral lists this ribosomal RNA (495 nucleotides) under uncultured bacterium. RNAcentral describes it as "partial 16S ribosomal RNA". It matches the Rfam family "Bacterial small subunit ribosomal RNA", at positions 28 to 507 of the family's 1533-position model. The record is from RNAcentral.
GACGAACGCUGGCGGCGUGCCUAAUACAUGCAAGUAGAACGCUGAAGGAGGAGCUUGCUUCUCCGGAUGAGUUGCGAACGGGUGAGUAACGCGUAGGUAACCUGCCUGGUAGCGGGGGAUAACUAUUGGAAACGAUAGCUAAUACCGCAUAAGAGUAGAUGUCGCAUGACAUUUGCUUAAAAGGUGCAACUGCACCACUACCAGAUGGACCUGCGUUGUAUUAGCAAGUUGGUGAGGUAACGGCUCACCAAGGCAACGAUACAUAGCCGACCUGGGAGGGUGAUCGGCCACACUGGGACUGAGACACGGCCCAGACUCCUACGGGAGGCAGCAGUAGGGAAUCUUCGGCAAUGGACGGAAGUCUGACCGAGCAACGCCGCGGGAGUGAAGAAGGGUUUCGGAUCGUAAAGCUCGGUUGUAAGAGAAGAACGAGUGUGAGAGUGGAAAGUUCACACUGUGACGGUAUCUUACCAGAAAGGGACGGCUAACUACGUG